RNAcentral lists this ribosomal RNA (820 nucleotides) under Bacillus subtilis. Its description in RNAcentral is "bacterial SSU rRNA". It matches the Rfam family "Bacterial small subunit ribosomal RNA", at positions 48 to 836 of the family's 1533-position model. The record is from RNAcentral. Lineage: Bacteria; Bacillati; Bacillota; Bacilli; Caryophanales; Bacillaceae.
CGUAAGCUUGGAUCCCGGGGAGACAGAUGGGAGCUUGCUCCCUGAUGUUAGCGGCGGACGGGUGAGUAACACGUGGGUAACCUGCCUGUAAGACUGGGAUAACUCCGGGAAACCGGGGCUAAUACCGGAUGCUUGUUUGAACCGCAUGGUUCAAACAUAAAAGGUGGCUUCGGGCUACCACUUACAGAUGGACCCGCGGCGCAUUAGCUAGUUGGUGAGGUAAUGGCUCACCAAGGCAACGAUGCGUAGCCGACCUGAGAGGGUGAUCGGCCACACUGGGACUGAGACACGGCCCAGACUCCUACGGGAGGCAGCAGUAGGGAAUCUUCCGCAAUGGACGAAAGUCUGACGGAGCAACGCCGCGUGAGUGAUGAAGGUUUUCGGAUCGUAAAGCUCUGUUGUUAGGGAAGAACAAGUACCGUUCGAAUAGGGCGGUACCUUGACGGUACCUAACCAGAAAGCCACGGCUAACUACGUGCCAGCAGCCGCGGUAAUACGUAGGUGGCAAGCGUUGUCCGGAAUUAUUGGGCGUAAAGGGCUCGCAGGCGGUUUCUUAAGUCUGAUGUGAAAGCCCCCGGCUCAACCGGGGAGGGUCAUUGGAAACUGGGGAACUUGAGUGCAGAAGAGGAGAGUGGAAUUCCACGUGUAGCGGUGAAAAUGCGUAGAGAUGUGGAGGAAACACCAGUGGCGAAGGCGACUCUCUGGUCUGUUAACUGGACGCUGAGGAAGCGAAAAGCGUGGGGGAGCGAAACAGGGAUUAGAUACCCCUGGUAGUCCACGCCCGUAAAACGAAUGAAUGCCUAAAGUGGUUAGGGGGGGU